Molecule: ribosomal RNA, 550 nt
Filed under: uncultured bacterium
Lineage: Bacteria
Description: bacterial SSU rRNA
Rfam family: Bacterial small subunit ribosomal RNA
Source: RNAcentral
CGGUACCGGAAUAAGAAGCACCGGCUAACUACGUGCCAGCAGCCGCGGUAAUACGUAGGGUGCGAGCGUUAAUCGGAAUUACUGGGCGUAAAGCGUGCGCAGGCGGUUUAGUAAGACAGGCGUGAAAUCCCCGGGCUCAACCUGGGAACUGCGCUUGUGACUGCUAAGCUAGAGUACGGCAGAGGGGGUGGAAUUCCACGUGUAGCAGUGAAAUGCGUAGAGAUGUGGAGGAACACCGAUGGCGAAGGCAGCCCCCUGGGCCGAUACUGACGCUCAUGCACGAAAGCGUGGGUAGCAAACAGGAUUAGAUACCCUGGUAGUCCACGCCCUAAACGAUGUCAACUAGGUGUUGGGAGGGUAAAACCUUUUAGUACCGGAGCUAACGCGUGAAGUUGACCGCCUGGGGAGUACGGCCGCAAGGUUAAAACUCAAAGGAAUUGACGGGGACCCGCACAAGCGGUGGAUGAUGUGGAUUAAUUCGAUGCAACGCGAAAAAACCUUACCUAACCCUUGACAUGUCCAGAAGCUCUUAGAGAUUUGAGUGUGACCC